RNAcentral lists this ribosomal RNA (253 nucleotides) under uncultured bacterium. RNAcentral's name for it is "partial 16S ribosomal RNA". It matches the Rfam family "Bacterial small subunit ribosomal RNA", at positions 524 to 776 of the family's 1533-position model. The record is from RNAcentral.
UACGGAGGGCGCAAGCGUUGUUCGGAAUUACUGGGCGUAAAGCGCGUGUAGGCGGCCGGGUAAGUCGGAUGUGAAAGCCCGGGGCCUAACCCCGGAACUGCACCCGAUACUGCCUGGCUGGAGUCCCGGAGAGGAUGGCGGAAUUUCCGGUGUAGAGGUGAAAUUCGUAGAUAUCGGAAGGAACACCAGUGGCGAAGGCGGCGACCUGGGCCAAUACUGACGCUGAGGUGCGAAAGCGUGGGGAGCAAACAGG